This 225-nucleotide ribosomal RNA is filed under the name Salmonella enterica subsp. enterica serovar Lubbock. RNAcentral's name for it is "partial 23S ribosomal RNA". It matches the Rfam family "Bacterial large subunit ribosomal RNA", at positions 1124 to 1348 of the family's 2925-position model. The record is from RNAcentral. Lineage: Bacteria; Pseudomonadati; Pseudomonadota; Gammaproteobacteria; Enterobacterales; Enterobacteriaceae.
UAAAGAAAGCGUAAUAGCUCACUGGUCGAGUCGUCCUGCGCGGAAGAUGUAACGGGGCUAAACCAUGCACCGAAGCUGCGGCAGCGACACUGUGUGUUGUUGGGUAGGGGAGCGUUCUGUAAGCCUGUGAAGGUGGCCUGUGAGGGUUGCUGGAGGUAUCAGAAGUGCGAAUGCUGACAUAAGUAAAGAUAAAGCGGGUGAAAAGCCCGCUCGCCGGAAGACCAA